This 260-nucleotide ribosomal RNA is filed under the name uncultured bacterium. RNAcentral describes it as "partial 16S ribosomal RNA". It matches the Rfam family "Bacterial small subunit ribosomal RNA", at positions 524 to 776 of the family's 1533-position model. The record is from RNAcentral.
GACAGAGGAUGCAAGCGUUAUCCGGAAUGAUUGGGCGUAAAGCGUCUGUAGGUGGCUUUUUAAGUCCGCCGUCAAAUCCCAGGGCUCAACCCUGGACAGGCGGUGGAAACUACCAAACGCUGGGAGUACGGUAGGGGCAGGAGGGGAAUUUCCGGUGGAGCGGUGAAAUGCGUAGAGUAUCGGAAAGAACACCAAACGGCGAAAGCACUCUGCUGGGCCGACACUGACACUGAGAGACGAAAGCUAGGGGAGCGAAUGGG